CACAAGCUGCACCGAGGAAAAUUAGCAAGGAUGAACUCGGCAAUGUCGCUGGAAUGGCAGCAAAUGCAACAGCUAGUGGCGGAAAAUUUGACAAGAAGUUGCCUGGGGAAAAACCCCCAAAACAUGAUAAGAAGUACCGUAAGGUUUGUAUUAUGGAAAGUGCAUGCAUAAAUUUGCUUAGGACUAACCUGAUUGUAUUGUCUAAGUCAACUCUACUCUUGUGUAUAACCAGUUCCUACCAGUUGCAGAAGGAUCAGGAAUGGGCUCCUUAGAGAAACAGAAGUCACCUAUACCACAGGCUGUAAACAUGUACAAUGUGAAAAAGGACAAGAACCG
Molecule: long non-coding RNA, 336 nt
Filed under: Nicotiana tabacum (common tobacco)
Lineage: Eukaryota; Viridiplantae; Streptophyta; Magnoliopsida; Solanales; Solanaceae
Description: long non-coding RNA (NTAB_LNC007327)
Source: RNAcentral